This 963-nucleotide ribosomal RNA is filed under the name uncultured Actinomycetes bacterium. RNAcentral describes it as "bacterial SSU rRNA". It matches the Rfam family "Bacterial small subunit ribosomal RNA", at positions 8 to 986 of the family's 1533-position model. The record is from RNAcentral. Lineage: Bacteria; Bacillati; Actinomycetota; Actinomycetes.
AGAGUUUGAUCCUGGCUCAGGACGAACGCUGGCGGCGUGCUUAACACAUGCAAGUCGAGCGAUGAGAUCACUUUGGUGAAGGAUUAGCGGCGAACGGGUGAGGAACACGUGAAGAAUCUGCCUUCAACUCUGGGAUAACUCCGGGAAACCGGGGCUAAUACCGGAUAUGAGCCUUGAUCGCAUGAUCGGGGCUGGAAAGUUUUUCGGUUGAAGAUGACUUCGCGGCCUAUCAGCUUGUUGGUGAGGUAAUGGCUCACCAAGGCGACGACGGGUAGCCGGCCUGAGAGGGCGACCGGCCACACUGGGACUGAGACACGGCCCAGACUCCUACGGGAGGCAGCAGUGGGGAAUAUUGGGCAAUGGAGGAAACUCUGACCCAGCGACGCCGCGUGAGGGAUGAAGGCCUUCGGGUUGUAAACCUCUUUCAGUAGGGAAGAAGCGAAAGUGACGGUACCUACAGAAGAAGCACCGGCUAACUAUGUGCCAGCAGCCGCGGUAAUACAUAGGGUGCAAGCGUUGUCCGGAAUUAUUGGGCGUAAAGAGCUCGUAGGUGGUUCGAUACGUCGGAUGUGAAAAUCAGGGGCUCAACCCCUGACCUGCAUCCGAUACGGUCGAGCUAGAGUUUGGUAGGGGAGACUGGAAUUCCUGGUGUAGCGGUGGAAUGCGCAGAUAUCAGGAGGAACACCGAUGGCGAAAGCAGGUCUCUGGGCCAAUACUGACACUGAGGAGCGAAAGCGUGGGGAGCGAACAGGAUUAGAUACCCUGGUAGUCCACGCCGUAAACGGUGGGCGCUAGUUGUGCGAACCUUCCACGGUUUGUGCGACGCAGCUAACGCAUUAAGCGCCCCGCCUGGGGAGUACGAUCGCAAGAUUAAAACUCAAAGGAAUUGACGGGGCCCCGCACAAGCAGCGGAGCAUGCGGCUUAAUUCGACGCAACGCGAAGAACCUUACCAAGGCUUGACA